This is a long non-coding RNA of Gadus macrocephalus (Pacific cod), 674 nucleotides long. RefSeq lists it as uncharacterized. NCBI's taxonomy places the organism in Eukaryota, Metazoa, Chordata, Actinopteri, Gadiformes, Gadidae. The transcript has 2 exons. The record is from RefSeq and is a predicted model, not a curated record.
AUCAUGAGCAGUUCCUUUCCUUCUCCAUACAUUUCUCUUCCCAUCACUCUGGUACAAGUUGAUCUUUGUCUCAUCUGUCCAUAGGAUGUUGUUCCAGAACUGUGAAGGCUUUUUUAGAUGUUACUAGGCAAACUCUAAUCUGGCCUUCCUGUUCUUGGGGCUCACCAAUGGUUUACAUCUUGUGGUAAACACUGUAUUCACUCUGGUGAAGUCUUCUCUAGAUUGUUGACUUUGACACACAUACACCUAUCUCCUGGAGAGUGUUCUUGAUCUGGCCAACUGUUGUGAAGGGUGUUUUCUUCACCAGGGAAAGAAUUCUUCGGUCAUCCACCACAGUUGUUUUCUGUGGUCUUACGGGUCUUUUGGUGUUGCUGAGCUCACCGGUGCGUUCUUUCUUUUUAAGAAUGUUCCAAACAGUUGAUUUGGCCACACCUAACGUUUUUGCUAUCUCUCUGAUGGGUUCGUUUGGAUUUUUCAGCCUAAUGAUGGCUUGCUUCACUGAUAGUGACAGCUCUUUGGAUCUCAUAUUGAGAGUUGACAGCAACAGAUUCCAAAUGCAAAUAGCACACUUGAAAUGAACUCUAGACCUUUUAUCUGCUUCUUGUAAAUGGGAUAAUGAGGGAAUAACACACAUCAAGCCAUGGAACAGCUGGGCAGCCAAUUGUCCCAUUACU